Molecule: transfer RNA, 85 nt
Filed under: bacterium
Lineage: Bacteria
Also listed under: 4 other names
Description: tRNA-Leu
Rfam family: tRNA
About the family: Transfer RNA (tRNA) molecules are approximately 80 nucleotides in length. Their secondary structure includes four short double-helical elements and three loops (D, anti-codon, and T loops). Further hydrogen bonds mediate the characteristic L-shaped molecular structure. tRNAs have two regions of fundamental functional importance: the anti-codon, which is responsible for specific mRNA codon recognition, and the 3' end, to which the tRNAs corresponding amino acid is attached (by aminoacyl-tRNA synthetases). tRNAs cope with the degeneracy of the genetic code in two manners: having more than one tRNA (with a specific anti-codon) for a particular amino acid; and 'wobble' base-pairing, i.e. permitting non-standard base-pairing at the 3rd anti-codon position.
Source: RNAcentral
GCGAGAGUGGCGGAACUGGCAGACGCGCUGGACUUAGGAUCCAGUGGGGCAACCCGUAGGGGUUCAAAUCCCCUCUCUCGCACCA